Molecule: ribosomal RNA, 500 nt
Filed under: uncultured bacterium
Lineage: Bacteria
Description: partial 16S ribosomal RNA
Rfam family: Bacterial small subunit ribosomal RNA
Source: RNAcentral
AUUGAACGCUGGCGGCAUGCUUUACACAUGCAAGUCGAACGGAUUUUGGAGCUUGCUCCAGAGUUAGUGGCGAACGGGUGAGUAAUAUAUCGGAACGUACCCGGCAAUGGGGGAUAACGUAGCGAAAGUUACGCUAAUACCGCAUAUGCCCUGAGGGGGAAAGCAGGGGACCAGUAAUGGCCUUGCGUUGUCGGAGCGGCCGAUGUCGGAUUAGCUAGUUGGUGAGGUAAAGGCUCACCAAGGCGAGGAUCCGUAGCGGGUCUGAGAGGAUGAUCCGCCACACUGGGACUGAGACACGGCCCAGACUCCUACGGGAGGCAGCAGUGGGGAAUUUUGGACAAUGGGCGAAAGCCUGAUCCAGCCAUGCCGCGUGAGUGAAGAAGGCCUUCGGGUUGUAAAGCUCUUUCAGGUGGAAAGAAAAGGUUACGGAUAAUACCUGUAACUGAUGACGGUACCAUCAGAAGAAGCACCGGCUAACUACGUGCCAGCAGCCGCCGUAA